Long non-coding RNA from Grammomys surdaster, 466 nucleotides. RefSeq lists it as uncharacterized. The transcript is spliced from 2 exons. NCBI's taxonomy places the organism in Eukaryota, Metazoa, Chordata, Mammalia, Rodentia, Muridae. The record is from RefSeq and is a predicted model, not a curated record.
AUAUGAAAUGUGGUGGCCACCCUUGGUUGUCUUUACUGUAUCUCUGCGUGGCCUCCCUAAAAUUUUCAGACAAAAGAAAUUUUAACUCAAACGUUGGAGCCAUGAGAACGCCCUGUGACAACUGGACCCUGUAUCCGCAGGAUGGCCCACCUAAGAGCUGUGGCGAAUACUGUUAGUUUAAUACUGUUGACAACCAGCCACAUCCAAGGACAGCUAGAAGUGACUUCAUGACAAUCAGACAUCUUUACAGCCAGCUCUCCAGUGACCCAGCGACCUUACACGUCAUCUCUAAAAGCCUAAGAGGCAGCGGCAUCAGUCCUGUGUCUGUCCCUUUUCACAUGUGCAAUGGCCCCUGUUGCAGGUCCCUUUGUACAAGCCUCGUUUUUCCUCCCCCACCCCUUUCUCCUCCAUCUCCUAGAGGCUUCUCCUAUUUCCCCUCCCAAUAAACUUCCCACGUGAUACCUGC